Molecule: ribosomal RNA, 422 nt
Filed under: Phytophthora capsici
Lineage: Eukaryota; Oomycota; Peronosporomycetes; Peronosporales; Peronosporaceae
Description: eukaryotic LSU rRNA
Rfam family: 5.8S ribosomal RNA (bases 1-70)
Source: RNAcentral
GAGUCAUCGAAAUUUUGAACGCAUAUUGCACUUCCGGGUUAGUCCUGGGAGUAUGCCUGUAUCAGUGUCCGUACAUCAAACUUGGCUUUCUUCCUUCCGUGUAGUCGGUGGAGGAUGUGCCAGAUGUGAAGUGUCUUGCGUGUUGUCCUUCGGGUCGACUGCGAGUCCUUUUAAAUGUACUGAACUGUACUUCUCUUUGCUCGAAAAGCGUGGUGUUGCUGGUUGUGGAGGCUGCCUGCGUGGCCAGUCGGCGACCGGUUUGUCUGCUGCGGCGUUUWAAGGAGGAGUGUUCGAUUCGCGGUAUGGUUGGCUUCGGCUGAACAGGCGCUUAUUGAAUGCUUUUCCUGCUGUGGCGUGAUGGGCUGGUGAACCGUAGCUGUGUUUGGCUUGGCUUUUGAAUCGGNUUUGCUGUUGCGAAGUAG